AUUGAACGCUGGCGGCAUGCUUUACACAUGCAAGUCGAACGGCAACGAGGAGAAGCUUGCUUCUCUGUCGGCGAGUGGCGAACGGGUGAGUAUAGCAUCGGAACGUGCCAAGUAGUGGGGGAUAACCAAACGAAAGUUUGGCUAAUACCGCGUAAGCUCCAAGGAGGAAAGUAGGGGACCUAAAUAAGGCCUUACGCUAUUUGAUCGGCCGAUGUCGGAUUAGCUAGUUGGUGGGGUAAUGGCUCACCAAGGCAAUGAUCCGUAGCGGGUCUGAGAGGACGAUCCGCCACACUGGGACUGAGACACGGCCCAGACUCCUACGGGAGGCAGCAGUGGGGAAUUUUGGACAAGGGGGGAAACCCUGAUCCAGCCAUGCCGCGUGUAUGAAGAAGGCCUUAGGGUUGUAAAGUACUUUUGUUAGGGAAGAAAAGCUAGUUUUUAAUAAAAAUUAGUGAUGACGGUACCUAAAGAAUAAGCACCGGCUAACUACGUG
Molecule: ribosomal RNA, 493 nt
Filed under: uncultured bacterium
Lineage: Bacteria
Description: partial 16S ribosomal RNA
Rfam family: Bacterial small subunit ribosomal RNA
Source: RNAcentral